Molecule: ribosomal RNA, 253 nt
Filed under: uncultured bacterium
Lineage: Bacteria
Description: partial 16S ribosomal RNA
Rfam family: Bacterial small subunit ribosomal RNA
Source: RNAcentral
UACGAAGGGUGCAAGCGUUACUCGGAAUUACUGGGCGUAAAGGGUGCGCAGGCGGUUCGUUGUGUCGGUGGUGAAAGCCCCGGGCUCAACCUGGGAAUGGCCAUGGAAACUGGCGAACUGGAGUGUGGCAGAGGGGGGUGGAAUUCCGCGUGUAGCAGUGAAAUGCGUAGAGAUGCGGAGGAACACCGAUGGCGAAGGCAGCCCCCUGGGCUAGCACUGACGCUCAGGCACGAAAGCGUGGGGAGCAAACAGG